RNAcentral lists this ribosomal RNA (433 nucleotides) under uncultured bacterium. Its description in RNAcentral is "partial 16S ribosomal RNA". It matches the Rfam family "Bacterial small subunit ribosomal RNA", at positions 28 to 507 of the family's 1533-position model. The record is from RNAcentral.
GACGAACGCUGGCGGCAUGCCUAACACAUGCAAGUCGAACGAGACCUUCGGGUCUAGUGGCGCACGGGUGCGUAACGCGUGGGAACCUGCCCUUAGGUUCGGAAUAACUCCCCGAAAGGGGUGCUAAUACCGGAUAAUGUCUUCGGACCAAAGAUUUAUCGCCUUUGGAUGGGCCCGCGUUGGAUUAGCUAGUUGGUAGGGUAAAAGCCUACCAAGGCGACGAUCCAUAGCUGGUCUGAGAGGAUGAUCAUCCCCACUGGGACUGAGACACGGCCCAGACUCCUACGGGAGGCAGCAGUGGGGAAUAUUGGACAAUGGGCGAAAGCCUGAUCCAGCAAUGCCGCGUGAGUGAUGAAGGCCUUAGGGUUGUAAAGCUCUUUUACCCGGGAUGAUAAUGACAGUACCGGGAGAAUAAGCUCCGGCUAACUCCGUG